This 462-nucleotide ribosomal RNA is filed under the name uncultured bacterium. Its description in RNAcentral is "partial 16S ribosomal RNA". It matches the Rfam family "Bacterial small subunit ribosomal RNA", at positions 28 to 507 of the family's 1533-position model. The record is from RNAcentral.
GAUGAACGCUGACAGAAUGCUUAACACAUGCAAGUCUUUGGCGAAGCUGUGCUUGCACAGCCUAGCCAAGGCGGACGGGUGAGUAACGCGUAAGGAACUUGCCCUGCAGUCAGGGAUAACAGACGGAAACGACUGAUAAGACCUGGUAAAGUCAGGCGGACUCAUGUCCAGCCUGAUGAAAAGAGAUGCUGCAGGAGAGCCUUGCGUCCUAUUAGCUUGUUGGUGGGGUAACGGCCCACCAAGGCGAUGAUAGGUAGCCGGCCUGAGAGGGUGGACGGCCACAAGGGGACUGAGAUACGGCCCUUACUCCUACGGGAGGCAGCAGUGGGGAAUAUUGGACAAUGGGGGCAACCCUGAUCCGGCAAUUCUGUGUGCACGAUGAAGGUUUUCGGAUUGUAAAGUGCUUUCAGCAGGGAAGAAAAAAUGACGGUACCUGCAGAAGAAGCGACGGCUAAAUACGUG